CGGUACUCUAGUUGCCAGCCAAAGCAACUGCGUAAAGGAGAAAUCGCAUUUCGAAUGCUCCCAGACGACAAUGCGCACGAGGUAUGACAUCACUGGUGGAUCGUUUUGUAUUAGAAAAAUUUCAAAUAGCGCGACGCAACUUUCUACAUCAAAUUGCCUGAUUGGAGACAACAAUUGAACAUUCACCUUCACUGUGAGGUAGGUGUAGUUCCGUAGCGAUGAGAGGAAAAUGCUGCAGGCUUUUGCUAAGACUUCUCAUGCGCGUAGGUCUGGAACUCCGAGGAAACACUUAAUCAACUUCUGCUUUGCCGUGUUCUCCUAGUUUACGACUCUUCUAGUCGAUCUGAAGUUUCCGAACUCCAAAUCGAGAUAUCUAAGAUUUCCAUUAGAUCAAGCGUGGUUGAGAGAGUGGAUUCUGCGUUUGAGGCUAAAAGGGAGGCAGUUGGACCACAUUCCAGAUCGUUUUACAGCACUACACAUCAAAGCAGAAGUUGAUGCGCUGUAUCCUUGAGGUUCCAGACCUGCGCGGACGAGAAGUCAUAACGAAUUCAUCCAGCAUUUUUCUCUCAUCGCUACGAGGCUGCACCUACUUCACA
Molecule: long non-coding RNA, 596 nt
Organism: Corticium candelabrum
Lineage: Eukaryota; Metazoa; Porifera; Homoscleromorpha; Homosclerophorida; Plakinidae
Exons: 3
Source: RefSeq, a predicted model, not a curated record